Molecule: ribosomal RNA, 253 nt
Filed under: uncultured bacterium
Lineage: Bacteria
Also listed under: 1 other name
Description: partial 16S ribosomal RNA
Rfam family: Bacterial small subunit ribosomal RNA
Source: RNAcentral
UACGAAGGGGGCUAGCGUUGCUCGGAAUGACUGGGCGUAAAGGGCGCGUAGGCGGACGGCACAGUCAGGCGUGAAAUUCCUGGGCUCAACCUGGGGACUGCGUCUGAGACGUGUUGUCUUGAGUAUGGAAGAGGGUUGUGGAAUUUCCAGUGUAGAGGUGAAAUUCGUAGAUAUUGGAAAGAACACCGGUGGCGAAGGCGGCAACCUGGUCCAUUACUGACGCUGAGGCGCGAAAGCGUGGGGAGCAAACAGG